GCCGGACGCCCAGGGGAGGGGUGCAGCUGGUAGGGCCCGAACACACUGGUGGUAACCCGAGGACUAGGCGACUUGCCAAUUCUAAAGAACGCUGCUUUUCCUGUGCCCAGUUCCCUCACUCUUACUGGACUUGAACGAAUGAGAACAUCAUCGAGCACCAAAUAAUAAUGAUUUAAAAAUCAUGGGAACAAACAGUGAUAAAAAUGAUACUAUUUGUGGAGGAUCUGUGGGUCUGUUUUUUUUACAAGGAGUAUUUCAUUUGAUUCUCAUCUGAUUUUGUAAGGAAAUUACAAUUACUGUGUUUCUAGCCGGGCAAUGAUCUGCAGGACGUGAGAACUUGUUAGAAAUGCUAAUUCUCAGCCCAUCCAGCCUCCACUGACUUAUAUAUGCUGGGAGGCAAAGUCAAGCCCUUGGUGUUUAACAAGCCCUCCUUGGGGGGCUGACGCAUGUUCAAGUUUGAGAACCACUGUUUUCAGUACUGCUUUAGAACACCAUCUGAGAGAUCUGCAGGGGAAGUGUGGUUGCCCAGAGAGGAGGAGGAAAGUGGCUGCUGCCAUUCAGGAGUGGUGGCCGUGUUAACAGAUGAGGGGAGAGAGGAUGCAGUGGGUGACACUAAUGAAAUCUUAGCCUCAGUCUUUGGCUCAGCUGCUGAAUUUGGAAAAAUUCAAACAUUUAUAAAAGAAAACAGAAUGGUAUUGUGGACUCCACAGACUUGUCACCCAGCUUCAACAAUGAUCAGCUCAGCGUCAAUCUUGGGUGUCUACUUUUCCCAACCUCCAUCCCUGUCAAUGGAGACACCAUACCAUUGCCUCUGUAAAUAUACUGGUAUGUAUCACAUCAUUAAAAGAUAAGCACUCCUUUAUAAAAUAUAAUCACAAAAAUAUCAUAAAUAUAUGUGUCCAAACCUGAAGGAAGUGCAAAACCCAGAGUGAACCAUGGACUUUGAGUGAUAAUGAAAUUUCCAUGUGGCUUCAUCAGUUGUGACAAAUGUACCACUCUGAUGGGGGUUGUUGGUGAUGGGGGACAGUGUGUAGGGGGGAAGGAGAUACACAGUCAAUCUAUGUUCAAUUUUGCUAUAAUCCUAAAACUAUUCUAAAAAGUCUUUACAAAUAGGACAUAACCACAAUACUGUUAUUAAACUCAACAAUAGUUCCUUG
This 1157-nucleotide long non-coding RNA is filed under the name Heterocephalus glaber (naked mole-rat). RNAcentral describes it as "lncRNA (ENSHGLG00100046234.1)". Lineage: Eukaryota; Metazoa; Chordata; Mammalia; Rodentia; Bathyergidae. The record is from RNAcentral.